RNAcentral lists this long non-coding RNA (876 nucleotides) under Bos grunniens (domestic yak). RNAcentral describes it as "lncRNA (ENSBGRG00000003773.1)". Lineage: Eukaryota; Metazoa; Chordata; Mammalia; Artiodactyla; Bovidae. The record is from RNAcentral.
AUGAGACAGACAGGAAGAACAGGAUACAAGAGCCACAGGCCAGUGUACAGAGAAGAUGUUGGCAACCAGAGGAAAAGGGAGUAUCUGGAGAGGCAGAUAGGGAACACAGCCAGAAACAUUCAACUGUCUGCAGCAGUGCCUGCUGUGUUAGGCAGAACAGGGAUGCCAAACAGAGACACAGAAUAUGGGGGAGUUAUGAAUAAUUAUCUUUGGAGACACCCAGAAAGGGGUGGUGGAAGGGAUGGAUACAGUAACUCACCAACAAGGUAGGUUAACACCAUAGUAUAACUGGACAGUUGCCCAGAACCCCUUACUCUUUAAAGAGACAAAAGAAGACAUUUUUCUGGCUGUUUUAUAAAGUUUACAUAGUUGCUGGUAACCUGUGAUUUGCCCAGCUGCAAUGAGGGAAUCCAACAAGUUAAAAACCUAUGUCAGUCACUCAAAAUUCACUACUGUGUCAGGGCCUUGUGAUACCCAGCUUCCAACAUGGCCCUAGUGAUGUUCAUCUUCUGGUGUUAUGUCCUUGUGUAGUGCCAUCCCACGUUGAGUUAGGAGUGGUCUGUAUGACCAGUAGAAUACUGGUUAAAAAAGGCAGCAUGGCCUUCCUUUGUUCUCUUGGAUUACUCACUUUGAAAGGGAAUAGAGCCUUAUUUAAUCAACUAUAACUCACAGUGCUGAAGGAUUUGCCCGAAAUAGAGAAUUUUCAAUUUGGGAGGGACAAAUUAUUUACAGGCUACCACUUGGAGAAUUUAGUCUUGUCCUUCAUUCCUCAUGUUGAUUACCACUUCCACCCUUAAAACAGGUGCUAAGGGGUCCUUCUUCCAUUUAACAUUCUGAUAUAAAAGUGAUGAUAUCCUCUUCUCUUAUUUUGCCUAU